Molecule: ribosomal RNA, 568 nt
Filed under: Pichia pseudolambica
Lineage: Eukaryota; Fungi; Ascomycota; Pichiomycetes; Pichiales; Pichiaceae
Description: LSU rRNA
Rfam family: Eukaryotic large subunit ribosomal RNA
Source: RNAcentral
GGAAAAGAAACCAACAGGGAUUGCCCCAGUAGCGGCGAGUGAAGCGGCAAGAGCUCAGAUUUGGAAUCGUGUUUCGGCACGAGUUGUAAAUUGCAGGUUGGAGUCUUUGUGGAAGCGUGUGUCCAAGUCCCUUGGAACAGGGCGCCAUUGAGGGUGAGAGCCCCGUGGGAUGCGCGCGGAAGCAACAAGGCCCUUCUGACGAGUCGAGUUGUUUGGGAAUGCAGCUCUAAGCGGGUGGUAAAUUCCAUCUAAGGCUAAAUACUGGCGAGAGACCGAUAGCGAACAAGUACUGUGAAGGAAAGAUGAAAAGCACUUUGAAAAGAGAGUGAAACAGCACGUGAAAUUGUUGAAAGGGAAGGGUAUUGGGCCCGACAUGGGGAUUGCGCAUCUCUGCUCCUUGUGGGCGGGGCGCUGUGCUUUUCCUGGGCCAGCAUCGGUUUUUGCCGCAGGAGAAGGGGUACUGGAAUGUGGCUCCUCGGAGUGUUAUAGCCAGUGCCAGAUGCUGCGUGCGGGGACCGAGGGCUGCGACAUCUGUCUCGGAUGCUGGCACAACGGCGCAAUACCGCCC